CGCUAUCACUCCUACGGGGAGGCAGCAGUAGGGAAUCUUCCACAAUGGGCGCAAGCCUGAUGGAGCAACACCGCGUGAGUGAAGAAGGGUUUCGGCUCGUAAAGCUCUGUUGUUAAAGAAGAACACGUAUGAGAGUAACUGUUCAUACGUUGACGGUAUUUAACCAGAAAGUCACGGCUAACUACGUGCCAGCAGCCGCGGUAAUACGUAGGUGGCAAGCGUUAUCCGGAUUUAUUGGGCGUAAAGAGAGUGCAGGCGGUUUUCUAAGUCUGAUGUGAAAGCCUUCGGCUUAACCGGAGAAGUGCAUCGGAAACUGGAUAACUUGAGUGCAGAAGAGGGUAGUGGAACUCCAUGUGUAGCGGUGGAAUGCGUAGAUAUAUGGAAGAACACCAGUGGCGAAGGCGGCUACCUGGUCUGCAACUGACGCUGAGGCUCGAAAGCAUGGGUAGCGAACAGGAUUAGAUACCCUGGUAG
RNAcentral lists this ribosomal RNA (474 nucleotides) under uncultured bacterium. RNAcentral's name for it is "bacterial SSU rRNA". It matches the Rfam family "Bacterial small subunit ribosomal RNA", at positions 328 to 793 of the family's 1533-position model. The record is from RNAcentral.